Entelurus aequoreus (snake pipefish) is the source of this 1170-nucleotide long non-coding RNA. RefSeq lists it as uncharacterized. The transcript has 7 exons. NCBI's taxonomy places the organism in Eukaryota, Metazoa, Chordata, Actinopteri, Syngnathiformes, Syngnathidae. The record is from RefSeq and is a predicted model, not a curated record.
UCCUUACUUGCGCUACUUCGGGCGACUUGUUUUCUCUCCCCUGCUUGCAGUCACACAACUAGUCAAUGACUAUUCCUGCAAAGAAGCUUCCAAAGCAGACGGCGAGAAGAAGGAGCUGACGUCGAUACUUAUUGACAAAGAAUGAAGAAAACACAUCGCGGAUGCUGGUGGUCAGCGUCUCGAUGAGUCCGGAGCUGUGGAGACCCACUGCCGGGUAGAGUGAAGGGUGUUGCCCCCGAGGAUACAUCGGCCCUGGAGGAGUGUCUCCCCUGCGCUCCUCGACUACGGUCUGGGAGCCGGAAGCAGGAAAGCUGAAUAUAUGGAGGAUGAACUGCUGCAUAUAGAAGCGAGCACGAAGAAGAGGCUGAAACGUUGGAGCAGACGGAAACCGAGAGAGUGGGACAUGGUCACGCUGCGAAUCUGGAACUUUGAGCCAAGCUAUGCCGAAUGAAUGCAUUGUUUGCCAAAAUCAACUGGACACAUCCCCGGCCAGCUGGACCAAACGGACGACUGUCCAUCGAAUACAGACGUAAACCAAUAUCCAGGAAAGAAGAAGACAAAGGGCCAAGUCCCAGCGAAUGUUUCCCAUUUCAUCAACUCCGCUUGAUAGCCCCAAAAUUCUUCUCCUGUGACAGAAAUCCGAGGAAAAACACUCAUAUACACACACACACACACACACACACACACACACAUGUGAUGUGGUACUUACUCCCAAUACUCUACAACUGAAGAUGUGUUGUUUGUGGACUCUGGCAGAGUUUGGUUGUGUCCCAGACAUGUAUCUUUCAUGCGAGCUGUUGAGACAGUUAGCCCACGGAAGUUCCGAAUGGAAGGACGAGAAGAGGAAGAGGAAUUCCCAGCCAGGUCAAAAAGACGGAUGUCAUGUCAUUCACCUCCAAAAAGAGGGCAGAUUUUCCUCCAACAUGUUAUUGCACCUUGACUGGUGUACUGGCCCAGUGAUGUCUCCAGGAUGAAGAGAGGGACGCCACAGGUGAACAGGAACAAAAAGUAUGGUAUGAGGAAGACACCUUUUAAGCCAAAAUUCAAUCUGUUAGUUCAAUAGUCCUCAAACUUUUCUCAUUCAUAUUUUGCUUUUUCAAGUACCAGUUUUUUUCCACCUACGGUUUGUCUUGCUAUGUAUUUAUUCUGAAAUGUAGCAAUAAAACACAU